This 424-nucleotide ribosomal RNA is filed under the name uncultured bacterium. Its description in RNAcentral is "bacterial SSU rRNA". It matches the Rfam family "Bacterial small subunit ribosomal RNA", at positions 54 to 477 of the family's 1533-position model. The record is from RNAcentral.
CAUGCAAGUCGAACGGUAGAGGGGGCAACCCCUUGAGAGUGGCGAACGGGUGAGUAAUGUAUCGGAACGUGCCCAGUCGUGGGGGAUAACGUAGUGAAAAUUACGCUAAUACCGCAUACGAUCUAUGGAUGAAAGCGGGGGAUCGCAAGACCUCGCGCGAUUGGAGCGGCCGAUAUCAGAUUAGGUAGUUGGUGGGGUAAAGGCUCACCAAGCCAACGAUCUGUAGCUGGUCUGAGAGGACGACCAGCCACACUGGAACUGAGACACGGUCCAGACUCCUACGGGAGGCAGCAGUGGGGAAUUUUGGACAAUGGACGAGAGUCUGAUCCAGCCAUUCCGCGUGCAGGACGAAGGCCUUCGGGUUGUAAACUGCUUUUGUACGGAACGAAAAGGCUCUUCUUAAUGCGGAGGGCUCAUGACGGUA